GCUUGGGUAGCUUAUUGAGAGUUUAUUAUUGAAGUUAUUAAGGAGGUUGUUAACCCCUGAGCA
RNAcentral lists this transfer RNA (63 nucleotides) under Attagenus augustatus augustatus. RNAcentral's name for it is "tRNA-Phe". The record is from RNAcentral. Lineage: Eukaryota; Metazoa; Arthropoda; Insecta; Coleoptera; Dermestidae.